This 237-nucleotide unclassified non-coding RNA is filed under the name Tetramitus sp. RTM441. Its description in RNAcentral is "partial ITS 1". The record is from RNAcentral. Lineage: Eukaryota; Heterolobosea; Eutetramitea; Acrasida; Vahlkampfiidae.
AUUCGGUUGCAUUAACCAGACAAUCUUCGGAUUGUUAUGCAACCACUGACAUUGUCAGAAGGUCAACAGAAGAAAUCUCCGUCUGAUGUUAGGACCUGACUGGUAGGAGAGCACAAAACAAAAGAUGUUGAAGUUGAGCACAUUUCGAUGUGGCAAUAUCUUUUCACACUUCGGUGUGUUUUGGGGAGUAUCAGAAUAAUCCGUUCUGAUGCGCUUGACUCAUCAACUAGGAGAGAU